Molecule: ribosomal RNA, 431 nt
Filed under: uncultured bacterium
Lineage: Bacteria
Description: bacterial SSU rRNA
Rfam family: Bacterial small subunit ribosomal RNA
Source: RNAcentral
UGGGGAAUAUUGGACAAUGGGCGCAAGCCUGAUCCAGCCAUGCCGCGUGCAGGAUGACGGUCCUAUGGAUUGUAAACUGCUUUUGUACAGGAAGAAACAGUUCUACGUGUAGAACCUUGACGGUACUGUAAGAAUAAGGAUCGGCUAACUCCGUGCCAGCAGCCGCGGUAAUACGGAGGAUCCAAGCGUUAUCCGGAAUCAUUGGGUUUAAAGGGUCCGUAGGCGGUUAGAUAAGUCAGUGGUGAAAGCCCAUCGCUCAACGGUGGAACGGCCAUUGAUACUGUCUGACUUGAAUUAUUAGGAAGUAACUAGAAUAUGUAGUGUAGCGGUGAAAUGCUUAGAGAUUACAUGGAAUACCAAUUGCGAAGGCAGGUUACUACUAAUGGAUUGACGCUGAUGGACGAAAGCGUGGGUAGCGAACAGGAUUAGAU